RNAcentral lists this unclassified non-coding RNA (21 nucleotides) under Mus musculus (house mouse). RNAcentral's name for it is "oocyte_clustered_small_RNA14373". Lineage: Eukaryota; Metazoa; Chordata; Mammalia; Rodentia; Muridae. The record is from RNAcentral.
GACGAGGGGGCGACAACGCAG